GACGAACGCUGGCGGCGUGCUUAACACAUGCAAGUCGAGCGGUAAGGCCCUUUCGGGGGUACGACGAGCGGCGAACGGGUGAGUAACACGUGGGUGACCUGCCCUCAGCUCUGGGAUAAGCCUGGGAAACCGGGUCUAAUACUGGAUAUGACUCCAUGACGCAUGUUGUGGGGUGGAAAGCCUUGUGCGGCUGAGGAUGGGCCCGCGGCCUAUCAGCUUGUUGGUGGGGUGAGGCCUACCAAGGCGACGACGGGUAGCCGGCCUGAGAGGGCGACCGGCCACACUGGGACUGAGACACGGCCCAGACUCCGUACGGGAGGCAGCAGUGGGGAAUCUUGCGCAAUGGGCGAAAGCCUGACGCAGCGACGCCGCGU
This 374-nucleotide ribosomal RNA is filed under the name uncultured bacterium. RNAcentral describes it as "bacterial SSU rRNA". It matches the Rfam family "Bacterial small subunit ribosomal RNA", at positions 28 to 402 of the family's 1533-position model. The record is from RNAcentral.